This 374-nucleotide long non-coding RNA is filed under the name Struthio camelus australis. Its description in RNAcentral is "lncRNA (ENSSCUG00000001220.1)". Lineage: Eukaryota; Metazoa; Chordata; Aves; Struthioniformes; Struthionidae. The record is from RNAcentral.
CCCCCCCCGUGUGUAAUUCACCUGUGUCUAAUGGCGCUUGCUAUGUUUUGUGAGUUACAGCUGCGGAAAUGCGAGUUGCUGCUUUGUGACAGCCUUCGUUGUUUGAGGAGGAACGUCCCCUUAAUGUGCUGAAAUUAACGAAAAGCUACUGCAGGCUGAAUUUCAACUUUGCUGUUGUUACUUCACUGUGAGAAUGAAAUUGUCUUCCUGCAGAAAGUCACUGGACUCCUGAUUUCAGGACAAUAAGGAUAGUUAAGUUGCUUCAGAUAGCAUGUACAAUUCACACCUGUUGGAAGAAAUUGGAAAUACCACACCUGCUUUUACUAUUCAGAGAAGGAAAGACACAGCUGAGUUGCUAAACUUAGGAAUGUUAU